UUGGUUUGACAGCACAUACACUUAAAAUCAGGACAGUACAGAAAAGCUGAGCGUGGCUCCCGCUCAAGGGUGACAUGCAAAUUCGCAAAGCCUCCCAUAUUAAA
Molecule: small nuclear RNA, 104 nt
Filed under: Meriones unguiculatus (Mongolian gerbil)
Lineage: Eukaryota; Metazoa; Chordata; Mammalia; Rodentia; Muridae
Source: RNAcentral